RNAcentral lists this microRNA precursor (86 nucleotides) under Bactrocera dorsalis (oriental fruit fly). RNAcentral describes it as "microRNA bdo-mir-998 precursor". Its record names the gene bdo-mir-998. Lineage: Eukaryota; Metazoa; Arthropoda; Insecta; Diptera; Tephritidae. The record is from miRBase by way of RNAcentral.
ACUGAAUUCUCGUGGUUCUGCAUUGCAUACCAUGACGAGGUAAACGUAUUGUAAUUGAAAUUUUGUAGCACCAUGAGAUUCAGCUC